CGUGUAGGCGGUUUGUCAAGUCGGGUGUGAAAGCCUGGGGCUCAGCCCCAGAAGUGCAUCCGAAACUAGCGAGCUAGAGCGCGAUAGAGGAGGGUGGAAUUCCUGGUGUAGCGGUGAAAUGCGUAGAUAUCAGGAGGAACACCGGCGGCGAAGGCGGCCCUCUGGAUCGUUGCUGACGCUGAGACGCGAAAGCGUGGGGAGCAAACAGGAUUAGAUACCCUGGUAGUCCACGCCUUAAACGAUGGGUACUAGGUGUUCGGGGUGUUGACCCCCUGAGUGCCGCAGUUAACGCAUUAAGUACCCCGCCUGGGGACUACGGCCGCAAGGUUAA
This 331-nucleotide ribosomal RNA is filed under the name uncultured bacterium. RNAcentral describes it as "bacterial SSU rRNA". It matches the Rfam family "Bacterial small subunit ribosomal RNA", at positions 568 to 897 of the family's 1533-position model. The record is from RNAcentral.